Molecule: long non-coding RNA, 1758 nt
Organism: Fundulus heteroclitus (mummichog)
Lineage: Eukaryota; Metazoa; Chordata; Actinopteri; Cyprinodontiformes; Fundulidae
Exons: 5
Source: RefSeq, a predicted model, not a curated record
ACAGCCAUCUCAGCUGAAGUCUGCUUUUUACGCGUAUUUCGCCGUUAUGAGUCGCCUUCUCCGCUCUCUCGCACACAUGUGGACACAUUAAAUCAGACCGAGGGUAGCACCGUGUGCGUCUGCUCACACACCGGGAGGGGGGGGGAGGGAGAGGUUGUGUAACUGGUUCACCUCAGCUGAACUCGGCGCAUCUGCGUUCGUCGGCGGCGAAGGACGCGGCAGCCUCUCCCCCGCGUCCCCGGUGAACUCUGCGAGGGGGGCCCGCCGGCGAGAGAGACACCGGACCCGGGCACUUUCUCUCGAUAUGUCCGCUUAUACCAGCCUCGUUCGAGCCCGCAUUGUCGCCUUGAGUUUAUUAUUUUUUAUUUAUUUAUUUAUUUAUUGCUGCUGGGGGGAAAUAGUAGGAAAUAGAAAGCCCCGCGGAGGAGGAAGAGACCGGCCAACUUGAACUUGAGACGUAACGGACGAGAGACGGGCCGAGGGAGGAAGGCCUCAGAGACACGCUGCAACCCAGGAAGGAAAUGUGGGCAUACUGUGUGCUGCUGCUGCUGCCGAUGUGUCCGGCGCAACGAGUCGGUGGAGAAUCCAGCGGUCUGGCCCGGAUAGCUCAGUCCGGUUGCUCCAAAGUGGGCUCAUUAUUUAGGAAUUACUCUAUUUUUCCUGGCUGGAAGUCAAAAUUGAGGUUUAGGAAACCUGAGAGGAGGGGAGCUGAAGGAGCGCUCAGACCUGAUACUGCAGAGGGGAAGUAACCUGAAGAACUCAAGACGUGACGUGCAGGAAGUAGACAACUGUGUUAAAUUACCCCAUUAACCCAGAAAAAAAGAAAAGAUUUAGCUGCAAAGCUAACAAGCUUUAUCUUUACUUAAACAACUUCAAGCGUGGAAUCAACCCGGUUGGUAUCAUUAGAUCAAUAAGUAGAAAAGCAGCUUUACCAUUUUUGCCUUUAUUGUUUAGAUUGUGUUGAUUUGGACUCUGGUUUUAAAAUAUAAGACCUAUAAUAAAUUAAGUGAACAUUUAUAAUUGAUACCUAGGAUUCCUGACAUUGGGCCUUGGCCGGUAUGAGAUUUUCACAAUCUGACAACCUUGAGUAAAAAUAACAGGAUUUGACUAUAUUUACUAAAAUAAAAUUUGUGUAAAAACAACAAUCAAAUAAAAAAAGUAUUCCUGCUGCUGCUGAAAAAAAUAAUAGCAUAUUGAUUAUUAUAAUAGCAUUUAUUUAAACGUUAAUUAGGAGAGCUAGCUCCUCUGGUUGCUAGCCCGCAGUCCGCUGCUUAUCAAACAUGCUGCCAGUGGAUUUACUGUCAUUUUCAGUCUGCUCGCUAUAGAAGAGCGCUGGGCAGUGUCCCUUUAAUCAUCAUGAUUUUUUUGUGAUUGCAAAUAUUCCCAAAGACCUAAAUAUAGCUUUCCUGUAAGCGAGGGAAAAGUGCAGCUAACAGGCAGUGUGCAGCAGCAAGUAGCACCAGACCUGCAUUACACUGUAUCAGAUCCAGUCAGAAAAAUUAUGAUGAUAUGACGAAGAAUUGUCGGACUUAAAUACUAAUAUUUAAAAUGAGCGACAUGUUUGUUGGUUGUCUUUAAGUUUAUGUUUCCACAGGUUGAUGAUGAAGAAGCGACAGAGGCGGCAGAUAAACUGUCCUUUGGGGUGAGGUAGUAGGUUGUAUAGUUUUAGGGUCGUUCCCAAGCUGUCAGAUGACUAUACAACUUACUGUCUUUCCUGAAGUGGCUGUGAAAGCUUCAUCGUCGUGAUCAUCAGUCGUA